UGUUUGCUUCUCGCUGUUAUCCCUCUCACCCCCUCCCCCCAAAGUUUCUGUGGUUUUCCUGUCCUGUUCGUCCUUCCUCAGCAGUCUAUCUGCCUUUCCCUCCCCCUCUGCUUCUCUCCCUUCUUCCAGCUUUGUUUCUGGGGUAGCUGGGAGAAGGGUUUUGUUUGAUGGAUCUAUUUGUAAUGGGUGAGGUCCACCUUUCAGCAGUGCCACUCUCCGCUCCAUCAGUCAUCAUCAGAGAAAGGAGCACUCCCUGCAUUGCAGAGUCCUAUGCUGCUGGUUUGCCCACCAGACUGCAGGAGUAGGUGAAGUGGGAGUAACUGGAUGGAGAAGACGACCCUUGAUUGUCCUGAAACAAGCACAUGUGAAAACAUGGUUUCGGUCAGCUGUAGGAAUGUAGUAGAGACAAUACAUUGGGUUGCUGACAGUCUAAUCCGGAUGUCUUUUUUAAAACAAUAAGGUACCCUUGCAAGCAUAAAUUAG
This 483-nucleotide long non-coding RNA is filed under the name Phasianus colchicus (ring-necked pheasant). RNAcentral's name for it is "lncRNA (ENSPCLG00000000010.1)". The record is from RNAcentral. Lineage: Eukaryota; Metazoa; Chordata; Aves; Galliformes; Phasianidae.